UACAGAGGGUGCGAGCGUUGUUCGGAAUUAUUGGGCGUAAAGCGCUUGUAGGCGGCACGUCAAGUCGCGUGUGAAAUCCCCAGGCUUAACCUGGGAAGUGCGCGCGAAACUGACGAGCUUGAGUGCCGGAGAGGGUCGCGGAAUUCCAGGUGUAGCGGUGAAAUGCGUAGAUAUCUGGAGGAACACCGGUGGCGAAGGCGGCAUCCUGGACCAAUUCUGACGCUGAGUGAGCGAAAGCCAGGGGAGCAAACGGG
Molecule: ribosomal RNA, 254 nt
Filed under: uncultured bacterium
Lineage: Bacteria
Description: partial 16S ribosomal RNA
Rfam family: Bacterial small subunit ribosomal RNA
Source: RNAcentral